GCCCCGUUAGCUCAGAUGGAUAGAGUAGUGGUCUUCGAAACCAAUGGUCAGGCGUUCGAGUCGCCUACGGGGUACCA
RNAcentral lists this transfer RNA (77 nucleotides) under bacterium. RNAcentral describes it as "tRNA-Arg". It matches the Rfam family "tRNA". From Rfam's summary of the family: Transfer RNA (tRNA) molecules are approximately 80 nucleotides in length. Their secondary structure includes four short double-helical elements and three loops (D, anti-codon, and T loops). The record is from RNAcentral. RNAcentral also lists the same sequence under 2 other names.